CCUACGGGUGGCAGCAGUGGGGAAUAUUGCACAAUGGGGGAAACCCUGAUGCAGCAACGCCGCGUGAGUGAUGACGGCCUUCGGGUUGUAAAGCUCUGUCUUCAGGGACGAAAAUGACGGUACCUGAGGAGGAAGCCACGGCUAACUACGUGCCAGCAGCCGCGGCAAUACGUAGGGGGCGAGCGUUGUCCGGAUUUACUGGGCGUAAAGGGUGGGUAGGCGGACUUUUAAGUGAGGUGUGAAAUACUCGGGCUCAACUUGCGUGCUGCAGUUGAAACUGGAAGUCUAGAGUGGAGGAGAGGAGAAUGGAAUGCCUGGUGUAGCGGUGAAAUGCGUAGAGAUCAGGAAGAACUCCGGUUGCGAAGGCGAUUCUCUGGACUGAGACUGACGCUGAGGCUCGAAAGCGUGGGGAGCGAACAGGAUUAGAUACCCCUGUAGUC
This 440-nucleotide ribosomal RNA is filed under the name uncultured bacterium. RNAcentral describes it as "partial 16S ribosomal RNA". It matches the Rfam family "Bacterial small subunit ribosomal RNA", at positions 338 to 795 of the family's 1533-position model. The record is from RNAcentral.